This is a long non-coding RNA of Callithrix jacchus (white-tufted-ear marmoset), 2099 nucleotides long. NCBI's taxonomy places the organism in Eukaryota, Metazoa, Chordata, Mammalia, Primates, Cebidae. The record is from Ensembl.
AUGCUUUUAACUAUUGUGUUUCUGGGAGUUUCUGCCGUUGGCCUUUUCCUCCGAAAAAUUACCUUCUGUCGCUGUGCUCAAGCCUUGGAGAGGGAGACGGCAGAGAGCAAGGGUGCCUACAAGCGGCACAGAUGGAGAAUGAGGAAAAAGAAAAGAGUGCCAGGGAGACACAUGAGUGAGGAGCCAGCCCAGAAACGCCUGUGCCUGAAGAACGCUUUCUGGCGAGGUGGGAGCUCCCGUGAAGGCAGCCGCUUAGUUUCCGCUGCAGGACCCACACGCCCUGCUUCUCCUUUUGGGGAUUCAGGACCUCAUUCGGUUCCCAUGAGGAACAGCAGCUGCGUCCCAAGUGAAAUCACAGAGAAGACAAAGGUAAAUGCUGGGGUCAUUUUCACUCUGCCUGUAUCAGGACAUUGUAGUCUUUUCCUCCAUCGUCCUCUCCUCGCCUGUCCUCUGCUCUGUAGGUUCUGCGAUACCUUUUCUGUCUGGAAUUUUUAGAGCAAAAUCUUUCCCAUAAGCUUUCUGGCUUCUUCAGUCCCAGCUAGUCAUCUUGGGUGGCACCUCCAGAAGCCAUAAAUGCUUAGGGACUGAGGGCUGAAGGGCUUUUACUGUUCUGUUUUCUGAAAUAGCAUGAGGAAUGCCACUGACCUCCACUCUCGUAGGUCUCAUGGCCCAGUGAAUGCUGACUGAUCUCUGUUACUCAAGGUGUUGUGGGGUCUAUUUCUGAUUGAAGUGGGGUUUUCUUUUAUUUUGUUUGUUUUUAUCUAUAAGGUAGGUGAGUAACAUUUGAAAUAUCUGCUGUAUUCUCAGAAGUGAUGAAAGUGAAAACUCAUUAAUCCAGCAUUAAUAUGUACUUUGUGCAAUUCUGAAUGCUCUUCGUCAAGGUCAAUUCUGUAGUUCAUCACAGUCCCAUUCCUGUUGGUAACGGUGUUGUACAAAAUCACCUUCACCCCCAUUUGGUCGUGCCCCGAUCUAACGUCUAAGUGUCAGAGUUUCUGUAUUUGUAGUAAAAAAUAUGCCUCGAUUGUGAGUUAGUGAAAGUGAAAGUAACCUGUUACCCACAGUGACAAUUCCCAACCAAGGCCUUCCAUGAUGCGCAGCUCUGCUGGUUCUCGUGUGGCUUCUGUACCUUCAACAGCUGCCGAGUCCUGAGAUGACACGUGAUGGGAACUGUACACUAGAAAUUAAACACGUUUCUAAAACUUGCCUUUUUCAGAAUUUCCACCUCAUUUUUCCCUGGACAAAAGUAUUAUUUCUGUCAUAAUGCACUUAAAAUUUGUAUUACCUGGGAGUUAAAAGAAAUCUUCUGGCCAUGCCUAACUGACUUGUGUAUGUGGGAUUGCUCUGACAGAAAACCCUCUCCCAGUUUCCCUGCUUCUCUUCAAGAAUCCACAUUUCCCCAGAGCCAUCUGUGCUCAUGGGGGGCACCCCCAUAGUGAAGAAGACCCUUUGUCGAGAAGGGAAUCAGAGGGAAAAUGAGAGGGUCCUGCAGGCAGAGCUGGAAUAGACUUCCACUCUGCCUCCUGCAAGCUCUGUGACCCUGGGCACGUGUUCUUCUUCCUCGGGGAGGCUCUGUUUACUUAGAUUUGGAGCAGGGUGGUCACGCUGACUUGCAGAGUUCUGAGAAUCAGAGACAGAACAUAAAAGGCCUGGAGAACAUUCUCCUAAAAGAAGCUGUAACACAUGUGUGGACAAUGGGCUCUUCGUGCCUCUCUUACUCGCUAUUUAUCUGAUGCCAAGAACAUGCUCUGGUGAUGGCGGUGAGGGAGGAAUGAGGAUGGACAGAGACACUCCUGUGUCUGAAACAUGCUUCUUCCUUACUGCGCUAUGACUCUGUCUUCCCUGGGGCAGGCCCCCAGCCUGCCUACAUUUGCAGAGAGAUGCAGUGGCAUGCGGAGAAAACAGUUUGCCCCAACGACUCUUCUUCACUUCCCAGCUGUCAGUGGUACUUAGUGGAAGGGUGACUUCAUGACACUGAUGCUGCUGUUUUGAAACCUGGAGGAUGGAAAGGUGCAAAAAACUAUCAGCAGCAACAUAAGUUGCAGCCUGUGUUGUUGGUGGUGGUUCUGUCUGUCAAAUUAAUACAUGUGAAAACACUUCCU